AACGAACGCUGGCGGCAUGCCUAACACAUGCAAGUCGAACGAGACCUUCGGGUCUAGUGGCGCACGGGUGCGUAACGCGUGGGAACCUGCCUUUAGGUUCGGAAUAACUCAGAGAAAUUUGAGCUAAUACCGGAUAAUGUCUUCGGACCAAAGAUUUAUCGCCUUUAGAUGGGCCCGCGUUGGAUUAGCUAGUUGGUGGGGUAAAGGCCUACCAAGGCGACGAUCCAUAGCUGGUCUGAGAGGAUGAUCAGCCACACUGGGACUGAGACACGGCCCAGACUCCUACGGGAGGCAGCAGUGGGGAAUAUUGGGACAAUGGGCGAAAGCCUGAUCCAGCAAUGCCGCGUGAGUGAUGAAGGCCUUAGGGUUGUAAAGCUCUUUUACCCGAGAUGAUAAU
This 397-nucleotide ribosomal RNA is filed under the name uncultured bacterium. RNAcentral describes it as "bacterial SSU rRNA". It matches the Rfam family "Bacterial small subunit ribosomal RNA", at positions 29 to 452 of the family's 1533-position model. The record is from RNAcentral.